CUUGCUCUCUGGGUGACGAGCGGCGGACGGGUGAGUAAUGUCUGGGAAACUGCCUGAUGGAGGGGGAUAACUACUGGAAACGGUAGCUAAUACCGCAUAACGUCUUCGGACCAAAGUGGGGGACCUUCGGGCCUCACGCCAUCAGAUGUGCCCAGAUGGGAUUAGCUAGUAGGUGGGGUAAUGGCUCACCUAGGCGACGAUCCCUAGCUGGUCUGAGAGGAUGACCAGCCACACUGGAACUGAGACACGGUCCAGACUCCUACGGGAGGCAGCAGUGGGGAAUAUUGCACAAUGGGCGCAAGCCUGAUGCAGCCAUGCCGCGUGUGUGAAGAAGGCCUUCGGGUUAUAAAGCACUUUCAGCGAGGAGGAAGGGUGGUGUGUUAAUAGCGCAUCACAUUGACGUUACUCGCAGAAGAAGCACCGGCUAACUCCGUGCCAUCAGCCGCGGUAAUACGGAGGGUGCAAGCGUUAAUCGGAAUUACUGGGCGUAAAGCGCACGCAGGCGGUUUGUUAAGUCAGAUGUGAAAUCCCCGCGCUUUAACGUGGGAACUGCAUUUUGAAAACUGGGCAAGCUAGAGUUCUUUGUUAGAGGGGGGGUAGAAUUUCCAGGUGUAA
Molecule: ribosomal RNA, 615 nt
Filed under: uncultured bacterium
Lineage: Bacteria
Description: bacterial SSU rRNA
Rfam family: Bacterial small subunit ribosomal RNA
Source: RNAcentral